RNAcentral lists this non-coding RNA (922 nucleotides) under Icmadophila ericetorum (peppermint drop lichen). RNAcentral describes it as "eukaryotic LSU rRNA". The stretch from base 601 to 754 matches the Rfam family "5.8S ribosomal RNA". The record is from RNAcentral. Lineage: Eukaryota; Fungi; Ascomycota; Lecanoromycetes; Pertusariales; Icmadophilaceae.
UUUUUUUUUCGACUAUAAAUAAAAGAUUCAUGCAAGUUAGAAAGUCGCCUCGGCGGGAGUUCUGGCAACACAAUCGAAUUGACGGGGACACCCUAAAACCUAUAACACUACCCACUGCGGGAAACUUCAGUGGAAUCCCGUGUGAAAAGCACGGGGGACAGUAACAGAUUGUAGGAUACUUCUUGCCCCUCGGGGUUAGUAAUCAUGGGCGAUCCGCAGCGAAGGCUCUACGUGCUUGAAGCAUAUGAGCAACGUUCACAGACUAGGUGGUUGUGGGUGGAAUAUUAUUGUUCCGCUUAAGAUAUAGUCGGGCUUCUGGGGAAACCUAGGAGGAAAAUUCACUCGGUGGGUUUGGAUAUGCAGCAUUGCACUGAGUAGUAGUACUUUGAAGCUUUCUAUCCCCUCCUCUAAACAAAACCGUUCCGUAGGUGAACCUGCGGAAGGAUCAUUAAUAGAGAUAGAGACUUCACCCGUCUCGAACCUCCAUCCCUUGUGAACAAAUGUUACCUUUGUUGCUUCGGUGCCUCAUCGCACCGAUAAUACCAUUCAAAUUCCUUUCAAAUUAUAUAUUGUCUGAAUAAUAAAAUUAAAAUUAAAUAAAACUUUCAACAACGGAUCUCUUGGUUCUGGCAUCGAUGAAGAACGCAGCGAAAUGCGAUAAGUAAUGUGAAUUGCAGAAUUCAGUGAAUCAUCGAAUCUUUGAACGCACAUUGCACCUUUUGGUAUUCCGAAAGGUAUGCCUGUCCGAGCGUCAUUUCACCUCUCAAACUUCAGUUUGGUGUUGGGCUUGUGUUGACUUGUUCAAUGGCCUCAAAAUCAAUGGCGGCGCGACAUCGAUCCCAAGCGUAGUGACACUAUUUCUGCUUUGGUGAUGGAUGUUGUGAUGGCUAAAAUUUGACGACUCUGUGUCUGACCUAUUACG